GUAUUUCUGAUUUUCUAGAGAUUCAGAAUCAAUUCAUUGGGCAAACGGUCCAGCAUGCAAUUGAGGCGUGCCAACUGCAUGACGGAUGGGCCCUGUACAUUUGGGACAAUGGUAGGGAAAACGCAACGGAUGGGCCCUUGUACAAUUGGGACAUGCUUACAAGGGUUAUACAGGUAUAUGACCCUCGUCCGGGCCAAAUGGAUGCAACCAGGAUGAGCAGGCUACACACGAGCUUAUCGCGUCUCGCCUCCACGAUGCAUUGUUCGGGUGCCUAAACGACUUACAUGCUGGGUGGCCAACACCCAAGGAUAACUGGUCCACUGUUUUCCCCCGUUUCAUGGAUACCUCAAUCACCAGAGGAAACAGGUAUUUGUGUUAUGCACAUCACCAGGCACCAUGAUGGUGAGAAGCUACGAAUGCCUAUCACCAAGAUUAACUUGGCGAAAACUAAGAAAUCCAUUCUGCAAGACGUGAUGAAGCUUCAGGCCGACAGUUCUUUGCCAGCCGAUGCAAUAUGGUCAGUUCAUGCUCCUAGCGAUGGUUUUGAAGACAUCCUCUGAAUGCAUGCCAUUUUACGUGUCAGGCACAACACGCUUCAUGUCUUUCUCCAUAUGAGAUGAUUUUUGCAACCCACCCAGCUAUGUUGUACCUUCAAAC
This is a long non-coding RNA of Triticum aestivum (bread wheat), 657 nucleotides long. RefSeq lists it as uncharacterized. The record is from RefSeq and is a predicted model, not a curated record. The transcript has 4 exons. NCBI's taxonomy places the organism in Eukaryota, Viridiplantae, Streptophyta, Magnoliopsida, Poales, Poaceae.